RNAcentral lists this ribosomal RNA (231 nucleotides) under uncultured bacterium. Its description in RNAcentral is "partial 16S ribosomal RNA". It matches the Rfam family "Bacterial small subunit ribosomal RNA", at positions 103 to 334 of the family's 1533-position model. The record is from RNAcentral.
CGGGUGAGUAACACGUGAGCAACCUGCCCCGAAGACCGGGAUAACAGUGGGAAACCGCUGCUAAUACCGGAUGUCCCCACCGAGUCUCAUGGCUUGGUGAGGAAAUGGACUCCGCUUCGGGAGGGGCUCGCGGCCUAUCAGCUUGUUGGUGGGGUAACGGCCUACCAAGGCGACGACGGGUAGCUGGUCUGAGAGGACGAUCAGCCACACUGGGACUGAGACACGGCCCAG